GCAUCGGUGGUUCAGUGGUAGAAUGCUCGCCUAGCUGCAGCGCGGGCGGCCCGGGUUCGAUUCCCGGCUGCUGCA
This is a non-coding RNA of Lingula anatina, 75 nucleotides long. NCBI's taxonomy places the organism in Eukaryota, Metazoa, Brachiopoda, Lingulata, Lingulida, Lingulidae. The record is from Rfam.